Long non-coding RNA from Helianthus annuus (common sunflower), 1357 nucleotides. RefSeq lists it as uncharacterized. The record is from RefSeq and is a predicted model, not a curated record. NCBI's taxonomy places the organism in Eukaryota, Viridiplantae, Streptophyta, Magnoliopsida, Asterales, Asteraceae. The transcript has 4 exons.
GUGCCCGAUCAGUAGUUGAACGGUUGUCUUUAAGCCACCGCUAAUGCAUGAUAAUUGCUGCUUUAAACUUGAUUAUUAUCACCAUUUCAUGGAUUCUUGCCUACCAUAUCACGAGUUCUACCAGAGAGAGAGGGAGUUGACUGUAAAUCGAAGAACAAUCCUCCCUCUCAAACGAUUUGUCAUAUGUCAGGAAGAUACAGAGGAGGAAAUCGAUACGAAACAAUCCCAACGAUGGAGGUCCACCAUCUUCACUAUCUUCAAACUCAUCGUUUCCGUUAGUCUGGUCAGAAGAGUUUGUUUGAUUUUCCGUAGGGUUUAUUAAUUGUUGAUUAUUAAUGUUAAAAUUAUGAACUUCAGGUUAAUUUUAACUUUUGAAGCAUCUGAUGCUGGUUUUUUCAUAGGGGUAGAAAGGAAGAAAAAUGUCAAGAAUUAGAGAUUUCAACAGUGGCUUUUGGUAUACAAUUACGUGUAGCUAAGUAUCAGCCAAAAUUAGGGCCAAUCAAGAACAAUAGGUCUAUAGAGAAUACUACCCAACAAAUGAUCAAGUUGUCUAUUUGGAAUGUGUAUGGGAGACUGACAAAUUCGUUUUACUCGAGAAAGUGAUCGAAGCCGAUCCGAGACAGUAAACGAUGGUGUUGUAUGUCAAGGUUCAUCUAUAGUAGAGUAUGAAAGUAUUGAAACCACUCUUGGCGCUUUGCGAGCAGUGGGGGAAAAACUAACAAGCAGAGUUGUUUUGUCGAAAAGAGGAGUUCCAGAUCAGUUUCUGGACUGUGUUUUCUAUGUAGAACACAUGGAGAGAAGUGAUCAUCUCUUCGCAUCUUGUAGAUAUAGAAAACCACAGGCCAGCCUCAUUUAGAUCGGAGUUUUGUUCGGAAAUUAAACAUUUUGUUCGACACCAACAACAACGAGAUUUCCGGAUAUCAAGGCCAGUUUGGUUCCUUUGCCACAAAGCUAGGGUCGAUUCUAUUUUUUCUCCUUCAAUCUUAUUGUGCGACCAAACACAACCAUCGGCAUGCCAUCACGAGUACCGCCCAUUCAUAUUCGUAGUUCCGGUAAGCAUUCAAACGGGAGUGCACUCUAACUGGCAAAUGGAUUUAAGCAUAUUUGUGGUGUUUAUAUAAAUGUUUAAAUGGGUGGCACAAUUAAUAUAUUAAGAUUAAGAGUCUUGAUUUAGGAAUGUAUAUUAUAGGCCCAAACGCAAGGUGAGUCCAUCUGUGAUCAAAAGUAAUGGGGAUGUACUUCUGGGGAUGUUGAAAUGAUUUGAUUCUCAGAACACAUUGCUUUACAUUAUUAUGUUGUUUGUGAUCAAAAGUAACUGUAAUGUUUUCAUUUAAAAAGGUUAGACCAUAUUAUUCAC